RNAcentral lists this ribosomal RNA (253 nucleotides) under uncultured bacterium. Its description in RNAcentral is "partial 16S ribosomal RNA". It matches the Rfam family "Bacterial small subunit ribosomal RNA", at positions 524 to 776 of the family's 1533-position model. The record is from RNAcentral.
UACGUAGGUGGCGAGCGUUGUCCGGAAUUACUGGGUGUAAAGCGCGUGUAGGCGGGAGGCCAAGUCUGUGGUGAAAUCGCUCGGCUUAACUGGGCGGGGUCCAUGGAAACUGGUCACCUGGAGGUCGGUAGAGGCAAGUGGAAUUCCUGGUGUAGCGGUGGAAUGCGCAGAUAUCAGGAGGAACACCAAUAGCGAAGGCAGCUCGCUGGGACGGUACUGACGCUAAGGCGCGAAAGCGUGGGGAGCGAACAGG